Molecule: unclassified non-coding RNA, 475 nt
Filed under: Hevea brasiliensis (rubber tree)
Lineage: Eukaryota; Viridiplantae; Streptophyta; Magnoliopsida; Malpighiales; Euphorbiaceae
Source: RNAcentral
CUUCUCUUCCCCACUCUUCCGCUAUCACUUCAUGCAUUCUCUCCGCACAGAAUUUGGCCACCUGAGAGCCACCGUGACCGUCGUACACGGCGAAGAAAUGGAGAGGCGAGAUCUCUCCGGAGGUUCUAGAACCUGGAGCCGUACAUCCUCCGACGUGAUCGCAUCUUGAAGACAUGAAUCCAGGCUUAACAGCGAUAGCGUCCUCCAUCUCCCUCCGCCUUCCGAUAACCGAAGUAAGUCCCCAGUGUACUCCCGCUCUAUUAGUCCUCCCGAUGCACUUCCGUCUCGCCGGUUCCGAUACCGGCGUUGUAAGGUCUACAGACCUCGUCUCCGAAGCAGCCUCCGCUACAAUAACAGCCGGAAUCUCACCGGAACUAGUACUGGUGACGGAGACGUCGCCGGAACUAGAGGAGCUUCGGAAAUCAUCUGUGCUGAGUACGGAUGAUAAACCGGAACUGGUGGAUGUGAAUUCGAG